Molecule: ribosomal RNA, 467 nt
Filed under: uncultured bacterium
Lineage: Bacteria
Description: partial 16S ribosomal RNA
Rfam family: Bacterial small subunit ribosomal RNA
Source: RNAcentral
GACGAACGCUGGCGGCGUGCUUAACACAUGCAAGUCGAACGGAAAGGCCCUGCUUUUGUGGGGUGCUCGAGUGGCGAACGGGUGAGUAACACGUGAGUAACCUGCCCUUGACUUUGGGAUAACUUCAGGAAACUGGGGCUAAUACCGGAUAGGAGCUCCUGCUGCAUGGUGGGGGUUGGAAAGUUUCGGCGGUUGGGGAUGGACUCGCGGCUUAUCAGCUUGUUGGUGGGGUAGUGGCUUACCAAGGCUUUGACGGGUAGCCGGCCUGAGAGGGUGACCGGCCACAUUGGGACUGAGAUACGGCCCAGACUCCUACGGGAGGCAGCAGUGGGGAAUAUUGCACAAUGGGCGGAAGCCUGGUGCAGCAACGCCGCGUGCGGGAUGACGGCCUUCGGGUUGCAAACCGCUUUCGCCUGUGACGAAGCGUGAGUGACGGUAAUGGGUAAAGAAGCACCGGCUAACUACGU